GGGCGUAUAGCUCAGCGGUAGAGCGGUCGGCUUACACCCGGCUGGUCGGGGGUUCGAUCCCCUCUGCGCCCA
Molecule: transfer RNA, 72 nt
Filed under: Nocardioides sp.
Lineage: Bacteria; Bacillati; Actinomycetota; Actinomycetes; Propionibacteriales; Nocardioidaceae
Also listed under: 2 other names
Description: tRNA-Val
Rfam family: tRNA
About the family: Transfer RNA (tRNA) molecules are approximately 80 nucleotides in length. Their secondary structure includes four short double-helical elements and three loops (D, anti-codon, and T loops).
Source: RNAcentral